AUGCCCAAAGGAAAAAACGGUUCUGGAAAAGGGGGAAAUGGGGACAUGUCUCUGGGAGCAACAGUGCUGAUGAGAAGGCUCAGGGCCCCAAAGUGGGUGGCGACACAGCAAACAGACACAUUCUACGCGAAAAACAUGGCAAAACGACGGAAGCCAUGGAAAAGUUAAAAUCUAGUAUGAGACUCAAUGAAGUGUCUCCACAAUAUAGUGAAGAUAAAAGCCAGGCCAGGGGACAACUUGGGUAAGGAGGAUAAUGACCCAGACCCCCGCUUUUCAAGAAGCAGCAUUUGCCUUGCCUGUAAGUGGGAUGGGUAAGCCUGUGUUUACAGAUCCUUCCAUAAAGACAAAAUCUGGAUAUCAUAUUAUUAUGGUUGAAGGAAGAAAAU
RNAcentral lists this long non-coding RNA (386 nucleotides) under Homo sapiens (human). RNAcentral describes it as "non-protein coding lnc-DTL-6:1". The record is from RNAcentral. Lineage: Eukaryota; Metazoa; Chordata; Mammalia; Primates; Hominidae.